Molecule: ribosomal RNA, 484 nt
Filed under: uncultured bacterium
Lineage: Bacteria
Description: partial 16S ribosomal RNA
Rfam family: Bacterial small subunit ribosomal RNA
Source: RNAcentral
AUUGAACGCUGGCGGCAUGCUUUACACAUGCAAGUCGAACGGCAGCGCGGGCUUCGGCCUGGCGGCGAGUGGCGAACGGGUGAGUAAUGCAUUGGAACGUGCCCAGUAGUGGGGGAUAGCCCGGCGAAAGCCGGAUUAAUACCGCAUACGACCUGAGGGUGAAAGCGGGGGACCGAAAGGCCUCGCGCUAUUGGAGCGGCCGAUGUCGGAUUAGCUAGUUGGUGGGGUAAAGGCUUACCAAGGCGACGAUCCGUAGCUGGUCUGAGAGGACGACCAGCCACACUGGGACUGAGACACGGCCCAGACUCCUACGGGAGGCAGCAGUGGGGAAUUUUGGACAAUGGGGGCAACCCUGAUCCAGCCAUGCCGCGUGCGGGAAGAAGGCCUUCGGGUUGUAAACCGCUUUUGUCCGGGAAGAAAUCCUCUGGGCUAAUACCCCGGGGGGAUGACGGUACCGGAAGAAUAAGCACCGGCUAACUACGUG